CCUACGGGGGGCAGCAGUGAGGAAUAUUGGUCAAUGGGCGCGAGCCUGAACCAGCCAAGUAGCGUGAAGGAUGACUGCCCUACGGGUUGUAAACUUCUUUUAUAAAGGAAUAAAGUGAGGCACGUGUGCCUUUUUGUAUGUACUUUAUGAAUAAGGAUCGGCUAACUCCGUGCCAGCAGCCGCGGUAAUACGGAGGAUCCGAGCGUUAUCCGGAUUUAUUGGGUUUAAAGGGAGCGUAGAUGGGUUGUUAAGUCAGUUGUGAAAGUUUGCGGCUCAACCGUAAAAUUGCAAUUGAAACUGGUUGACUUGAGUAUAUUUGAGGUAGGCGGAAUGCGUGGUGUAGCGGUGAAAUGCAUAGAUAUCACGAAGAACUCCGAUUGCGAAGGCAGCUUACUAAACUGCCACUGACAUUGAUGCUCGAAAGUGUGGGUAUCAAACAGGAUUAGAUACCCGAGUAGUC
Molecule: ribosomal RNA, 460 nt
Filed under: uncultured bacterium
Lineage: Bacteria
Description: partial 16S ribosomal RNA
Rfam family: Bacterial small subunit ribosomal RNA
Source: RNAcentral